UACAGGGGGGGCAAGCGUUGUUCGGAAUUACUGGGCGUAAAGGGUUCGUAGGUGGCCAACUAAGUCAGACGUGAAAUCCCUCAGCUUAACUGGGGAACUGCGUCUGAUACUGGAUGGCUUGAGUGUAGGAGAGGAAUGCGGAAUUCCAGGUGUAGCGGUGAAAUGCGUAGAUAUCGGAAGGAACACCUGUGGCGAAAGCGGCUCACUGGACCAUUACUGACGCUGAUGCACGAAAGCUAGGGGAGCAAACAGG
RNAcentral lists this ribosomal RNA (253 nucleotides) under uncultured bacterium. RNAcentral's name for it is "partial 16S ribosomal RNA". It matches the Rfam family "Bacterial small subunit ribosomal RNA", at positions 524 to 776 of the family's 1533-position model. The record is from RNAcentral.